RNAcentral lists this long non-coding RNA (342 nucleotides) under Monodelphis domestica (gray short-tailed opossum). RNAcentral describes it as "lncRNA (ENSMODG00000037254.1)". The record is from RNAcentral. Lineage: Eukaryota; Metazoa; Chordata; Mammalia; Didelphimorphia; Didelphidae.
CCAGCCAAGUGGUAAAUGAUAAGGCAAAUUUCGUGGGUGCCCUCCUCAAACAGAGAGACAGGGGAGAACUCCCAGAAGUCUGUCCCACUUCCCUUUCCAGUUAGUGGCAAGUAGGGACUCCAGGAGUAGGGAAUACCGAGGAGGUAUGAGUUUCAGAGUUGAAGUCAUCUUGCAGAAUGAGAAGUUUCUGGAAAUUGGAAAUAUCAAUCAGCAUUUUGCCAUAUUGAGAAGUUCUUCAGAAAAAUGUUCCAUUGAGGAGUUCAACCAAAGGUUGGCUAGAAUGAGGAAGCUCUGCUUGGUUCCACCUCUGCCGAACAUUAUACCUCCUCCAGGAUAAGCUGA